This 215-nucleotide ribosomal RNA is filed under the name uncultured bacterium. Its description in RNAcentral is "partial 16S ribosomal RNA". It matches the Rfam family "Bacterial small subunit ribosomal RNA", at positions 118 to 351 of the family's 1533-position model. The record is from RNAcentral.
UGGGAACGUGCCCAAAGGUACGGAACAACUCCGGGAAACUGGAGCUAAUACCGUAUGUGCCCGAAAGGGGAAAGAUUCAUCGCCUUUGGAUCGGCCCGCGUCUGAUUAGCUAGUUGGUGUGGGUAACGGCCCACCAAGGCGACGACGGGUAGCCGGCCUGAGAGGGUGACCGGCCACUGGGACUGAGACACGGCCCAGACUCCUACGGGAGGCAG